AGUGAACGCUGGCGGUAGGCCUAACACAUGCAAGUCGAACGGCAGCACAGUAAGAGCUUGCUCUUACGGGUGGCGAGUGGCGGACGGGUGAGGAAUACAUCGGAAUCUACUUUUUCGUGGGGGAUAACGUAGGGAAACUUACGCUAAUACCGCAUACGACCUACGGGUGGAAGCAGGGGAUCUUCGGACCUUGCGCGAUUGAAUGAGCCGAUGUCGGAUUAGCUAGUUGGCGGGGUAAAGGCCCACCCAGGCGACGAUCCGUAGCCGGUCUGAGAGGAUGGUCAGCCACACUGGAACUGAGACACGGUCCAGGCUCCUACGGGAGGCAGCAGUGGGGAAUAUUGGACAAUGGGCGCAAGCCUGAUCCAGCCAUACCGCGUGGGUGAAGAAGGCCUUCGGGUUGUAAAGCCCUUUUGUUGGGAAAGAAAAGCAGCAGGUUAAUACCCCGCUGUUCUGACGGUACCCAAAGAAUAAGCACCGGCUAACUUCGUG
Molecule: ribosomal RNA, 492 nt
Filed under: uncultured bacterium
Lineage: Bacteria
Description: partial 16S ribosomal RNA
Rfam family: Bacterial small subunit ribosomal RNA
Source: RNAcentral